AGCGCAGACGGUUAUUUAAGCAAGAUGUGAAAGCCCCGGGCUCAACCUGGGAACUGCGUUUUGAACUGGGUAACUAGAGUGUGUCAGAGGGGGUAGAAUUCCACGUGUAGCAGUGAAAUGCGUAGAGAUGCGGAGGAAUACCGAUGGCGAAGGCAGCCCCCUGGGAUAACACUGACGUUCAUGCUCGAAAGCGUGGGUAGCAAACA
This 206-nucleotide ribosomal RNA is filed under the name uncultured bacterium. RNAcentral's name for it is "partial 16S ribosomal RNA". It matches the Rfam family "Bacterial small subunit ribosomal RNA", at positions 568 to 774 of the family's 1533-position model. The record is from RNAcentral.